This 253-nucleotide ribosomal RNA is filed under the name uncultured bacterium. RNAcentral's name for it is "partial 16S ribosomal RNA". It matches the Rfam family "Bacterial small subunit ribosomal RNA", at positions 524 to 776 of the family's 1533-position model. The record is from RNAcentral.
GACAGAGGUGCCGAGCGUUAGGCGGAAUCACUGGGCUUAAAGCGUGUGUAGGCGGGCGGGCAAGUACCUUGUGAAAUCCCACGGCUCAACCGUGGAACGGCUGGGUAUACUGCCUGUCUUGAGCCAACUAGGGGCGAGCGGAACAGACGGUGGAGCGGUGAAAUGCGUAGAUAUUGGGAGGAACACCAGUGGCGAAGGCGGCUCACUGGACCGGUUCUGACGCUGAAGCGCGAAAGCGUGGGGAGCAAACGGG